Molecule: ribosomal RNA, 590 nt
Filed under: Holcus lanatus (velvet grass)
Lineage: Eukaryota; Viridiplantae; Streptophyta; Magnoliopsida; Poales; Poaceae
Description: eukaryotic LSU rRNA
Rfam family: 5.8S ribosomal RNA (bases 217-372)
Source: RNAcentral
ACCCUGACCAAAACAGACCGCGCACGCGUCAUCCAUCCGGCCGACGAUGGCUUUGUCCGUCGCUCGGCCAAGUCCUUGUCAACCUCCUCUCCUCGGAGUGGGGGCUCAAGGUAAAAGAACCCACGGCGCCUAAGGCGUCAAGGAACACUGUGCCUAACUCGGGGACGCGGUUGGCUUGCUGGCCGCCCCCGUGUUGCAAUGCUAUUUAAUCCACACGACUCUCGGCAACGGAUAUCUCGGCUCUCGCAUCGAUGAAGAACGUAGCGAAAUGCGAUACCUGGUGUGAAUUGCAGAAUCCCGCGAACCAUCGAGUCUUUGAACGCAAGUUGCGCCCGAGGCCACUCGGCCGAGGGCACGCCUGCCUGGGCGUCACGCAAAACACGCUCCCGCCUCCUUAUCUGGGAGUGGGACGCGGCAUGUGGUCCCCCGUCACGUAAGUGGCGGUGGGCCGAAGAUUUGGCUGCCGGUGUAUCGUACCGGACACAGCGCGUGGUGGGCGACCUCGCUUUACUUACCGCAGUGUAUCCGGUGCGUAGCCGAUAUCAUGGCUGGUUAAGGACCCUUUGAACGGAGUGCAUGAUGCUUCGACC